GACAUCCAGAGAACUUAGCAGAGAUGCUUUGGUGCCUUCGGGAACUCUGAGACAGGUGCUGCAUGGCUGUCGUCAGCUCGUGUUGUGAAAUGUUGGGUUAAGUCCCGCAACGAGCGCAACCCUUAUCCUUUGUUGCCAGCGGUUCGGCCGGGAACUCAAAGGAGACUGCCGGUGAUAAACCGGAGGAAGGUGGGGAUGACGUCAAGUCAUCAUGGCCCUUACGGCCAGGGCUACACACGUGCUACAAUGGCGCAUACAAAGAGAAGCGACCUCGCGAGAGCAAGCGGACCUCAUAAAGUGCGUCGUAGUCCGGAUUGGAGUCUGCAACUCGACUCCAUGAAGUCGGAAUCGCUAGUAAUCGUAGAUCAGAAUGCUACGGUGAAUACGUUCCCGGGCCUUGUACACACCGCCCGUCACACCAUGGGAGUGGGUUGCAAAAGAAGUAGGUAGCUUAACCUUCGGGAGGGCGCUUACCACUUUGUGAUUCAUGACUAGGGUGAAGUCGUAACAAGGUAGGCGUAGCGAG
RNAcentral lists this ribosomal RNA (526 nucleotides) under uncultured bacterium. RNAcentral describes it as "bacterial SSU rRNA". It matches the Rfam family "Bacterial small subunit ribosomal RNA", at positions 983 to 1509 of the family's 1533-position model. The record is from RNAcentral.